RNAcentral lists this ribosomal RNA (448 nucleotides) under uncultured bacterium. Its description in RNAcentral is "bacterial SSU rRNA". It matches the Rfam family "Bacterial small subunit ribosomal RNA", at positions 29 to 524 of the family's 1533-position model. The record is from RNAcentral.
AACGAACGCUGGCGGCAGGCCUAACACAUGCAAGUCGAACGCUGUAGCAAUACAGAGUGGCAGACGGGUGAGUAACGCGUGGGAACAUUCCUAGUGGUACGGAAUAGCUCAGGGAAACUUGGGGUAAUACCGUAUACGCCCUUACGGGAAGAUUAUCGCCAUUAGAUUGGCCCGCGUAGGAUUAGCUAGUUGGUGAGGUAAUGGCUCACCAAGGCGACGAUCCUUAGCUGGUUUGAGAGAAUGACCAGCCACACUGGGACUGAGACACGGCCCAGACUCCUACGGGAGGCAGCAGUGGGGAAUCUUGGACAAUGGGCGCAAGCCUGAUCCAGCCAUGCCGCGUGAGUGACGAAGGCCUUAGGGUUGUAAAGCUCUUUUGUCCGGGGACGAUAAUGACGGUACCCGGAGAAUAAGUCCCGGCUAACUUCGUGCCAGCAGCCGCGGUAAU